GGGAAGCAAGAUAGUGAUAUGGAGCAAAACCCUAAAAGCGGUCUCAGUUCGGAUUGAAGGCUGAAAUUCGCCUUCAUGAAGCUGGAAUUGCUAGUAAUGGCAGGUCAGCAUACUGCCGUGAAUACGUUCCCGGGUCUUGUACACACCGCCCGUCACACCAUGGGAGUCAGCAACGCCCGAAGUCAGUGACCUAACCGAGAGGAAGGAGCUGCCGAAGGCGGGGCAGGUAACUGGGGUGAAGUCGUAACAAGGUAAC
RNAcentral lists this ribosomal RNA (256 nucleotides) under uncultured bacterium. Its description in RNAcentral is "partial 16S ribosomal RNA". It matches the Rfam family "Bacterial small subunit ribosomal RNA", at positions 1244 to 1500 of the family's 1533-position model. The record is from RNAcentral.